Molecule: ribosomal RNA, 527 nt
Filed under: uncultured bacterium
Lineage: Bacteria
Description: partial 16S ribosomal RNA
Rfam family: Bacterial small subunit ribosomal RNA
Source: RNAcentral
UGGGGAAUUUUGGACAAUGGGCGAAAGCCUGAUCCAGCCAUGCCGCGUGCAGGAUGAAGGCCUUCGGGUUGUAAACUGCUUUUGUACGGAACGAAAAGACUCUGGUUAAUACCUGGGGUCCAUGACGGUACCGUAAGAAUAAGCACCGGCUAACUACGUGCCAGCAGCCGCGGUAAUACGUAGGGUGCAAGCGUUAAUCGGAAUUACUGGGCGUAAAGCGUGCGCAGGCGGUUAUAUAAGACAGAUGUGAAAUCCCCGGGCUCAACCUGGGAACUGCAUUUGUGACUGUAUAGCUAGAGUACGGCAGAGGGGGAUGGAAUUCCGCGUGUAGCAGUGAAAUGCGUAGAUAUGCGGAGGAACACCGAUGGCGAAGGCAAUCCCCUGGGCCUGUACUGACGCUCAUGCACGAAAGCGUGGGGAGCAAACAGGAUUAGAUACCCUGGUAGUCCACGCCCUAAACGAUGUCAACUGGUUGUUGGGUCUUUCACUGACUCAGUAACGAAGCUAACGCGUGAAGUUGACCGCCU